Molecule: ribosomal RNA, 446 nt
Filed under: uncultured bacterium
Lineage: Bacteria
Description: partial 16S ribosomal RNA
Rfam family: Bacterial small subunit ribosomal RNA
Source: RNAcentral
UGGGGAAUAUUGCACAAUGGGCGCAAGCCUGAUGCAGCCAUGCCGCGUGUGUGAAGAAGGCCUUCGGGUUGUAAAGCACUUUCAGCGAGGAGGAAGGGUUCAGUGUUAAUAGCACUGUUCAUUGACGUUACUCGCAGAAGAAGCACCGGCUAACUCCGUGCCAGCAGCCGCGGUAAUACGGAGGGUGCAAGCGUUAAUCGGAAUUACUGGGCGUAAAGCGCACGCAGGCGGUUUGUUAAGUCAGAUGUGAAAUCCCCGCGCUUAACGUGGGAACUGCAUUUGAAACUGGCAAGCUAGAGUCUUGUAGAGGGGGGUAGAAUUCCAGGUGUAGCGGUGAAAUGCGUAGAGAUCUGGAGGAAUACCGGUGGCGAAGGCGGCCCCCUGGACAAAGACUGACGCUCAGGUGCGAAAGCGUGGGGAGCAAAACAGGAUUAGAUACCCUGGUA